Molecule: long non-coding RNA, 271 nt
Filed under: Mustela putorius furo (domestic ferret)
Lineage: Eukaryota; Metazoa; Chordata; Mammalia; Carnivora; Mustelidae
Description: lncRNA (ENSMPUG00000030768.1)
Source: RNAcentral
CUGGGCUUAUUCUUUAGUGUGGAUUCUUUCUUCUGCAUUUCCAUCUGGUGUCAUUUUCCUUCUGCCUGAAGGACUUCCUUUAACAUUCCUCGUAAUGAGGGUCGACUGAUGAGAUUCCAGAGAGCUGUCUCUCUCCCUGAAUGCCCAGAAAGAGCUCAUAUGAACAUGCACCAAGAUGGGAGCUGCCUACAAGUCAAGAAAACAGAAGAGGCCUCCAAAUGGAACUGGCUAUGCUGCCACCUUGAUCUUGGACCUACAGCCUCAAGAACUC